AAUAGAUACCCGGGUAGUCCACGCCGUAAACGAUGUCGACUUGGAGGUUGUGCCCUUGAGGCGUGGCUUCCGGAGCUAACGCGUUAAGUCGACCGCCUGGGGAGUACGGCCGCAAGGUUAAAACUCAAAUGAAUUGACGGGGGCCCGCACAAGCGGUGGAGCAUGUGGUUUAAUUCGAUGCAACGCGAAGAACCUUACCUACUCUUGACAUCCAGAGAACUUAGCAGAGAUGCUUUGGUGCCUUCGGGAACUCUGAGACAGGUGCUGCAUGGCUGUCGUCAGCUCGUGUUGUGAAAUGUUGGGUUAAGUCCCGCAACGAGCGCAACCCUUAUCUUUUGUUGCCAGCGGUUAGGCCGGGAACUCAAAGGAGACUGCCAGUGAUAAACUGGAGGAAGGUGGGGAUGACGUCAAGUCAUCAUGGCCCUUACGAGUAGGGCUACACACGUGCUACAAUGGCAUAUACAAAGAGAAGCGACCUCGCGAGAGCAAGCGGACCUCAUAAAGUAUGUCGUAGUCCGGAUUGGAGU
RNAcentral lists this ribosomal RNA (527 nucleotides) under uncultured bacterium. RNAcentral describes it as "bacterial SSU rRNA". It matches the Rfam family "Bacterial small subunit ribosomal RNA", at positions 777 to 1304 of the family's 1533-position model. The record is from RNAcentral.